CAGCUCUUGGCAAAUAGGAAGCACUUAAUAAACAUCGAUCGGCAUCCUGGUGGGGUAGAGCUUGGCAGCCCCUUCCAGGAAGACUGUGGCAUCACCUCACCCUCACCCACUCCCUUGUCACCGCUCUCUGGCUCCCAGCUGGCAGUCCAGGAAGGAGGAACAGGAUGCAAAGUACAUUCCUCUGAGCGAGCCGGCAUUCUGCACUCUGCCCCACCCCCAACCUCGGGCUAGAGAACAUUAGGUAGCCACGGAAAGAGAGAACGAGGAUGAGGAAGGUCACGGCCGCCACGGACUCCAUUCUACCGGGCGGGCUCGCCACGGGGACGCCAGGGAAAUUUGCAACCGAAGACCGGGCCCUGUCAGGGUCUCAGGAGGAGUCCUCUCUUCUGGGAUCUUCCCAUUCUCCUUUCGCCUCCACGAGCAGGAAAUGUUUCCCGAAGGUGCUGGCAGGUUAGCGGCCGUCAUCCUAGAGAAAAAGAACGCUUUAUUCUGUAAGGUCCUCCUGCCAGCAAGAAAACGUGAAAGACUUGCUCACUCCUCCAUCCCCUAAUUGAGAAUAUUCAGAUCUUGCGGGAGGGGCAUUGGAGAGUCGAGGCAACAGAUCUUUUAUUCAUCAUCGCCGGUGGGCCGGAGACAGAUUACAUUUUGACCCAAGAA
Molecule: long non-coding RNA, 657 nt
Organism: Ornithorhynchus anatinus (platypus)
Lineage: Eukaryota; Metazoa; Chordata; Mammalia; Monotremata; Ornithorhynchidae
Exons: 2
Source: RefSeq, a predicted model, not a curated record